RNAcentral lists this ribosomal RNA (333 nucleotides) under uncultured bacterium. RNAcentral describes it as "bacterial SSU rRNA". It matches the Rfam family "Bacterial small subunit ribosomal RNA", at positions 32 to 380 of the family's 1533-position model. The record is from RNAcentral.
AAUCAACGCUGGCGGCGCGCUUAACACAUGCAAGUCGAACGAGAAAGUCCGCAAGGAUGAGUACAGUGGCGUACGGGUGAGUAACACGUGGAUCAUCUACCUUUUAGUGGGAAUACCGUGGGAAACCGCCGACAAUACCGCAUAAGCCCGAGAGGGAAAGCAGCAAUGCGCUGAAAGAGGAGUCCGCGGUCGAUUAGCUAGUUGGUGAGGUAAAGGCUCACCAAGGCUGUGAUCGAUAGCCGGCCUGAGAGGGCACACGGCCACACUGGCACUGAAACACGGGCCAGACUCCUACGGGAGGCAGCAGUGGGGAAUCUUGCACAAAUGGGGGGC